CAAGGAUCAAUGAUGUCACAUAAAGCACGAGGCGCAGCUCUUAAUAAUCGGGACAAAUACACCAUUAACUUUUGAAUUAAUUUCCUGCAUCUGGAUGGGCUAUGGUAAACUGUUCCUCAUUACGGAAGCAGAUGCUUUAAAAGCCAGACUGGAUGGGAUCAAAGGCCUAUCCAGACUAACCUGCUUUAGCUCAUUUUCAUUAUCAUCCGCUGACUAAAACAUCUACUGCAUUAUUCACAUCAGUUUUAAAGCUUGGCCCUUUUUCUGCCUUUUUGAGCACUUUUUUUGUUUUCUUCAGAAGAUGUUAUAGAGGACAGAUAGCCUCUCGUCAUGUCAAUCAAAUCCUCCGCAUUUAUUAUGAUAACUCACCGAAUGCAAAACAAACAAUGGUAAACAAUGUUUCCUUUAGCAGCCAUAGAGUUAAGCUAUGCAGUGUGUGUGUGUGCGUUUUGUGUGAGAUAAUGUGUAUGUGCUGCUGGGCAAAGGCCGUAGUGCUGAUGGUAAUGUAUUUUUCUGCAAACAAGAAAGAUUGCUGAGUCCCUGCCUCCUGGAGAAAGGGGGCGGCGGGGUGCUGCAUGGCGAUGGCGGGGAUUCAGGUAUAUGGAUGGCCUAAGGAGGUUUCCAUCAUUCAUAAAGCACGGCCGCCGUACGCACCCUGACGCCGAAUUGAUCUUGCAAAAGAAGCAGGGUGGCAGAGCGACCACUUCAUUAGUCUCCCCGAGCUACAAAUCACCUGCUAGUGCUGCGGCACUCAAGAGGGGACCGGUGUUACCCGCGCCACAUUACUACAGCCUCAACAGUCUGAAGUGACCGCCUGUUCAUGCCGCCAUUAUGAGUGAGUUAUGGAGCGAUGCAAAAAAAUAUUCUCUACACAUCCGGUAUUACUGCGGGUCACAGUCGACAGUCCCACGAUGAAUGUGCCGAGCUUUAAGUGCGGCAUAAUCCACAGAGGGAAAAAGCCCGGCAGGCUGGAGGCUCGCUUUUGUUUGUGCACCUGCCUCCCCUGGUGAAAUCACCUUUUUCAAAGUGUGUUAAGGAAGUUGGUCCACUUGUUCGACAAAAACUAAUGAUGCACAGAAUAGCCUUUGAUUGUAGUCUUUAUUGUAUUUUGUGGUGCUUCAUUUAAAAAAACGAUACCAACGCUACAUAGAACACUGUAUUAAACCUAUGGGUUUCCCUGUGAAGAGUGUGAUUUGAUGAUAUUUUGUAGUGCGCUGCUCCAUAAUUUUGCAUAUCAAGGACAGGAAGUAGUGAACCAUUGGGGGAGUGGCUUUUUGCUUCAGUGUGGCUCGAUUGGCUCGUUUUAUUCAAUGGAAAGUGAUGAAAGUGGGAAUUAUGAUGCACAGGUUCUACAAGACGGUACACACGAUUUCUGAUCCUGUUGGCUUGAUCGUACUACUAACUGUUGUUCAGCUGGAAGUGUCCUACACAUUUCCAACGGAGAGCAGUCUCCAAGUCUUUAUUGUAAGAUGAUACUUUUGAGAUCUCCCACUCACUAUCUCACUCUCAAUUUUGUUCGAAAUAGUAUAAUAAAAUACAUUUUUACACUUUUAUGAACAAAAACAAAAAUUGUGUGUGUUGCGUUAUUUAAAAGCAGUAAACUAAAACUAAAACUGUGCAAUGCCAUUUGUUUGAGACAGUCGACACUACUGCCAUGUCCCAUAUAACAAGGAUUGCUCAUUCUUUGAUUUGUUGGGCUUAUUAAUAGGAAUUAAAGUUGUCCCUGAAGACCCCCAAAAGAGCCUUUUCUGGUCAUUAUUCCUCACAGGUGUUUCAAUCAUUCCAAUAUUCAGUUAAGAGGCUUACUUGUUGUUUCAUAGGUCAUGGGGUUGCAGCAUGUGCACUUGAAAUAAAUACAUUUUUUAUAAUUAAGUUGAAUGUUUGUUAUGUAUCACACACUAUCAGGUCACUCUGUAAGUCCAUUUGAAGAAGCCACAACGCAGCACACACAUUUCUACAUAUUCUUUUUCUAUUUUAGUUUUACGUAUGCAAAACAACAAACAUUCUAAUGGACAUCUAUGAUUAUAUUAUAUACAUACUAUAAUCAAGUUCAGUUUUUCCUAAUAAUGUUAUGAGGAGCAAAGGGUUAACAAUUAAGUUGAGUAUGGUUGUUUUUUACAGUUGUACAUCAGUAGUAUGUAGAAUAAAAUCCUCAAGGCUUUUACUGAUCAAGCCUUUAAUAUCAUAAAAACAUCCCAAGAGCUACACAUUUAAAGAAUAUUAUAGGAAAUAACCCUACGAAAUCGGAAUUUUGCUCCCCUCUUUGGAGUUGAAUAUUAGAAAACUACAUUAUUAACAUUACACUCAUUUCUUCAAUGCACCAUGCAUCAAUGCAUCACUUUUCAGAAAUUUUGAGAGGUGGCAGCGGUGGGUGAUCAAAUAAACUCGUGCCUUCAAUCAAGAGACAAAUGGCCUCGUGGUUCAGCAACAAUGUUGAGGUGACCCGUAAGCACAAUGAACAGCUACACAUUAUCCUCUGAGAACAACAGUGACAGAGGACUCAGAGGACUUAGAAGUAUUAUUUCAAGCUGAAUGAAAACAAGCACUUAAGCUUUUCAUGAGUAAAAGUCAUUACCUUGAUUAGCUAAUGAAUGUCAUAGGUGUUGCAUUAGUAUACAUAAUGGUGAAAACUUACCAGACACUUUUAAAACUGUCCUGACAGGAGCUUUAUUCAUUUCAAGGAUGUUGAAACCAAUGCCACAGCAAUACUCCCAGAGGUAUUUCAAAAACACAAUUUACUUAUAGAAAUAAUAAAGUAGAGAACCAUUGAUAGAAACUGAUCUAGAUAUUUAGAUGUGAUAUGUUGCUUGCUGGCUCUGUAUAUUUCGCCCGUCCCUCGUUAUCACUUUCUUGUCAUUGUGUAUUUAUUCUUAUUCUUAGUCUGUGCAUCUUUCUUUCAGUUUCUUGAACACUGUCUAUAUUCUAUAUACUCUAUGGUGGACUGUUUACUUAUGUUCCGAUAACUGAUGUUAAGUAAACUCUUUUACUUUAAUCUCGUUUACUUUAGUCACCUUGUCGACACAAGGUCAUGCUAUUGAGUAUUAUUUGUGUUGGUAGAUUGAGACACGCUGAUUUAUGUAUUUAUUUUGGUUAAAGGAAAACGUGUGUACAUGUGUCAUCAUUACCCUUACAAUAUGAGCAAAUGCCUUCACGGAAAAAUCCUCGGCAGGGAGCAGGAGCCCUACUGACCCAUAAAGGUCUCUGCACGUUGCUGACUAGGAACGCCUGCAAAUCUUUGAACUAAGACAGAACUGCGAUCCUAAACAUCCCCACGAUUGUCAAUAACCUUUUCCCUUCCAUAAACCGUAGCAAUAACUGUGUCGUAUAGUCAUGACAUUUGCCAGCCCAAUAUCCCCGAGAGUUAUUGGUAAUUUCACACCGCCUGAUCUACAUCCUGUGACAACAUGGAAAAAAGUAAGGAGGUAUUGGAUAGGAAUGUAGCGCUUUUUAUGCUAGACGCUGCAUGAUGGUCAUAUGCUCACAAUCUUUGUACAGUUUUCCUGGUUUCCCCGGCCCAAGAUUUUAUUGUCAUUCAGAUAGACUUUUACUUUAGCACUACAAUUUAUUUAGAUUUUUUAAUCAAUCCUCCAUAUGAAGCAGCUCAACAUUACAGUGGCCUCAUCCGUACAGGACAGCAGCAGGCCCGUUAUACCUCUUUGAAUUACACAACUAUCACGCCACGUAAUUAGUCAGAGUAAUGAUGCCAAGCGGUCGCAGGGAAGAUGGAGCACUCCGUCAGGCCUUGGUUUGUGAUCUCUGAGGAGGCAACUUCACAGAGGGGCAGGGCAGAGUGAAAACAAAGUGCGAAGGCCUUCCAUGCACACAAAUCUUGUCAAUGGUAAUUGAUUGUUGUUGGUCACCCGCACAGGACCUGGACAAAAUCAAGUGGCUUCUCCAUAAAACAAUGUCAAAUAUUGAUGAUAUUUCUCUUUGUGGCCUCUAGAAUGAAUAGCCUCAUCCUUCCUCUAGUUUUGAUGAAUGUGUGUUAUUGCCAUCGCCUCUUGUUGUCUUUCUGUUGUCAUUUUACCUGCCGCUCGCUUGGAAUGAAAAGGAGAUGUUUCCUGCAAUUUCCUUCUUACCACUCCUCUUAAAACUAACACCUGACAAAGUCUGAUUACAUACCUAACUUUACAUUUUUAUGAACUGAAUUCAAAUCCAUUUUAGUCUGUGAUUUAUUGAUCUGCUGUGUCUUUAAAAGGGUGAUAUCCCUUUUUUCUUUUAUCACAAACAAUACAGAAAAGAUGCUGUGCCAAUGUGCACAUGGUCUGCCAUGACAGGCAAAAGACAUUUGACUUGAAAAUACACAACGUGAAUUCAAGCUCCUCUGCCUGUUUUCUACAUUUCAUCCAUCAACAUCUCUAUCAAACAAACUAUUCUCCCCUUCUUCUUAUUGUCUGUUUAAACUUGCAUGCCCCCCCCAAAGCUUUCCACACUCUAUUCCCUUUACUGUGAGCGUGAGAGGUCUAAAAGCUCGUCAAGUCCAAUGUUUCACAUCAGAAACGGUUUGUGUGCGUGUCAGUACUGGGUCUCUGGGAGAGCCAAACAACAGAGACAGACAUAUAGAGCAAAUAGGGGGGCAAAACACUAUAUGGAGUUUGUGAUGAAUGUCGGAGGGGACAGUCUAUGUUUUCUGUGAUGAUGGGGGGUAGGAGGAUUUUGAAAGACAUACUGAAUAUGACACACACACACACACGUUCUGACAGUCCCUCGCUGACUUGUGCAGCUUAACAAAUGCAUCAGAAGAAUGUCCAUCAAUUAUUCAAUCCCCUGGUUUGGAAAAGUGCGUUUCUGUGUGUGUUUGUGCACAUAUUUUUAGAGGGGUGUGGGGGGGGGGGUUAAAAAAGUCCCCCAAGGUUAGGCCCAUUUUGAAAAAGGGGGACCAUGCUAAACGGCAGACAGCGGUGAUACAAGUACAGCACUGGUCCAAGGGAAAUGUAGCGAUUUGCACCAAGGAGGCAGCGCCUCUGCACUGAUACUGCACAUGAAACAUGAGAGACACAAGGUUAGUAUGCUUUCACGGCUAAUUGCUGUAUUGCCACCCCUGUGCUUACUAUCCUUACUUACUAGGUUAAAUUCUCAUCAGUCUCGGUGGUCCACAUUGUUCCUGGAGCAGGUGGCUCACUUCGUGCUGCCCAGGCUCCCCUUAGCCAAGGAAACGGCUUACAUCAUGGUCAGCUAGGUGUUCCGCCGACAUGGGAUUCCUGUGGACAGACAUUGCGGCCCGCAGUUCGUAUCCCAGGUUCUGGAAAGCAUUUCGGUCGGGACCUUGGUGCAACUAUCCUGUCUUCCGGCUUCAACCCCCAACCUAAUGGACAGACAAAGACCCCACCAGGAGCUGGAAGACUCCACUGCUUGAGGAGAUAGCCAUAGCCUCAGUCCAUCUCUGCCGCUGUAGGGAGGUGUGGAAGGAGACACGGUCCGCCUCCGAUGCCGCCGCAUUUCUUCCCCCGCGUUGCCAGGUCGUUCAAAGGGUCGGACUCUCUACCACGGACAUCCCACUAAGGACCAUAUCCCAGUAGAUGUCGCCCCAAUUCAUUGGCUCCUUUGAGAUCCGUGCCAUUAUCAACACUUCUACGGUCCAUCUGUCACUCCCCUAGACCAUGAUGAUCCACCCGACAUUUCAUGUGUCACAAAUUUAACCAAUGUUCACCACUGCCCUGACCCCUGUAUGUGGGUACCAGUCUUACAAGACCAGUUACAGAUUUCUCAACUCUGAUACUUAUCUGUUCCUGCCAGUUUAAAGCCGUCCCGUGUCAUUCCACGGAGAUCAACAUUAAAUGUAAGCCUGCCGUCCUGUGUCCUUCUUGUUUUGCUGUUAUUAAUAAUCUGCAUCUGAUUCUGGUCCUGUGGUUGCUAUUGUAAUUUCCAGUCCCGUAAGUCCUGUUACUGUUGUGUGAAAAAAAUUCCCUUCGCCUCUUUCUAGGCUGGCACAAUAGAAUACUUGAUACUCUUCAAAGUAAGCCUCAAGUAAUACUGAUCAACCUUUCCUCCCAUGCUGUCUGUAGUUUACCCUUUUGUGCAACGUAUGACAACGCUCAAAACCUUUUCAGAUCAGUGUAUGACUUGAUUUCAAAGAAUAGCAUAACUGUGGUUGUACAACUUCAGUAAACACAAGCUGCAAUCAUGGCCCCCUAUAAAACCAUACAACACUACAGUUGUCACAGUAUUUCAUAAUUGUAACAUAAAUGUGUAAAUUAACAACCAAGGCCGUAGUUCAACAGUUAAUGUUGUAAAUUAAAAAUAACUAGUGUAAUUUAACAGCAUGAUACAGUAUUUUUUAUGAAGUAGUGGGAAUGCACAUCUUUAUACAAAAUCUAAGUCUAUUGUAGGUUAAUAUGUCUGUGAUGAUGAUAGAAUAUUAUUAUUAUUCAAACUGUUCAUUACAUAAAAAUCCUUUUUGAGUGACCAGAUUGUGAUCCUGAGCACAUUUCAUGUGGAGUUCAAUGCAGGAAGUUACUCAUUGCUCAUUACUCAUCGUCUCUCCAAGUAACAUUGCGCUUCUCAUACCAAUUCAACAUAUUUAUGUUUUUCACGAUCAUUAAAGUGUUGAUAUCUUAGAUAAUGUUUCCCUUGGUCUGUUUCGUUAUAUUAGGUCACCAAUCUUGGCAGAGCUAGUUCUGCGACAUAAGCUAGCUAGCUAACAGUAUGGCCAAAAAAGGCUAAUAUUGAAACAAGCGGAAAAAGCAUCUUUGUUAAAGACAGACGUUUACUUUAAAACCAACAAUCUACUGAUAUAGGUCUCUUAUGAGUUAAGCUCUCUUCCAAAACAAUAAGGCAGAGCUAACAACCCUCUCUCCUGCGGCCACUUCUUGUUUUGUCAUCUUUGUACUCUUUGUCCCUUUUGAAAACUCUCUCUGUCCUUCCUCCAACACAGUCUCCGUUCAUACUUAUGUUUACCACUUCCUUAAGUCUUUUUCAUUUUUAACAGAGACAGUGUUUCUAAAUGUUUUAUUUUGUCAGUUUUUCAGUGACUACAGGAAAAAAGCCACUUGCUACUCCAGUGUUUCAAGGUGUUCUCGUUCUUACUGUUAUUAGUUCAUGUGUGAGUACAUAUAGUCAGUUUGUGGGGUGCAUGGGUGCUAAUUUAGUGAUUCACUGUUUACAUUCAAUAGAACACCUCUUCUGACUAUACCUUCACUAGGUACGAGCACUUACUAUGGCACUUACUUAUAGCUCGUUGUAGUUUGGCUUUUUUGAAAGAUUUUUGUUGUUUUGGUGCGGUUCCCCACAACACAUACAACAUUCAUGCAUUAUUUAAUUGUCAUAUGUUGAAUAUCUAUCUAUGUAUCAAUACAUACAUAUAUUGUUAUUAUUCCAAAGUCCAGCCACUGAAACAGUUUAUUCUUCCUCACACGAGUGCUGUAGGACAUGACACACACACUCAGACACGUACGCACAAGAGUAAUGUCCUGAGACACAUGUUGCUAGGACACAAGCACCAAGAGUGGUAUGGCAAGCUGUCUUUGUUUGUGCAGUGAAUAUGUGUGUGAGUGUUUAAGUGUAUGCAUUUACGUGUGUGUGUGUGUUUGUGUGUGAGAGUGAUAACCCGCCAAGGGGACUCAAAAGAGGCAGCUAAUGGACUCCAACCACGGAGCACUUGUCACACAAACAUUUCUGCUGUCAAAGCAGUUAUCACACGUAACACAAUGAGACACCCACCCUCCCUCUUCCCCAUAGACACAUACACAUGCAUACAGCGUCCCAAAGCAGCCAUUUGUCCCAGCUUGCACAGAGUGGUUGGGAGCGGAGCAGAGCAGAGAACAAAGGAGAUGAGACAGUCAGAGAGAACAGUUGUGUUUUCACAGUUGUUUUAGCAAAUCCGAUGUGACAAAGUGAAAAAAGAGGGCGCCUCAGCACCAUGCUGCUACGGACUUGCACACACUGACAAUGCCGCGUGAGGAUAUAGGUGUGCACAAGGACUCUUUGCCAGAUAUUAAUCAGUAUUAGCCUUUUUCAGAGACGUCAUGCUGUGUAACUUACCGCUGGAUAGGAAGCAUGUAUGGAUGGAUUUGACGUAAUCAGACUUUUUUGUUUUUAACUUUGGAGACCACCGUAACAGUGCUUCCUUGAGAGGGUGGCCGACCUUUUACAAAGUCCAGGGAAAUAUGGGACCAGGGACAAUGUCGACCACAGAGCUUGAUGAGAGUUUAACCUCAUGUGGACGUCCUCCAGGCUGUGAUGGUCCAUUCAUACCAUGAAAGGGUGAACAGCCCUCUCCAAGUCAAAGUAAUAUCUAUAUCGAAGUAAGUUUUAUAUAACAUGUUUGUGUCUGAAGAGUGUGUGUAUCUUGCUACUUGUUUUGAUUAGAAAAAAGAUGUCUGUAAUUAAUGUCCAGUUGGUUUAGUCAGAAGCGCCUCAGUGGCGCCGCUCACAGGACAGCUUAGGUCACACAUAUAUACACACACAGCAUACUUUCAUGUAUCUCUUUUUCACACACACACACACACACACACACACACACACACACACACACACACACACACACACACACACACACACACACACACACACACACACACACACAUACAGACUCACAACUACACACAUUCAGUCAACAGCACACACAUGCAGAAAACAUAAAAUCAUCUCCAAAAAUGCAAAAAUGUGCCACCUUUCUUGUUACUUUGUUUUCACAAAGGUGUUAUUUAAAAGGAAAUUUAGACUAUUUUUAUAUUAUUAAUAUUACAAAGUGUUUGUAUUGUGCUCACAGCCGUUAAAAAAACUGUUCUGUGUAUGAUUCACCCUUUUGGGCUUCCAACGUUCAGUAAUAUCUGUACACAGAUAAACUACGGAAACAAUUUGGCUUGGUGGUAUUUUCAUUUUAGUCUUUUCCUUGGGACCAUCGCUGAGGUUUAGUCUGCUGCUGGAGUUCAGAACUGUAUUUCAAACAACCAGCACAUCUUAAUAUGUACAAAUAUGAGAACAUUUUGGAUAAUAUGAAAUGUUGUUCCAUUACCAUGUAUCACUUCGAUGAUUACCUUUUGCACAUGUCCUACUGGUCUGCUGGUUCUUUUUGUUUGCUGGAUUUUCAGUUGGUUGCAUCAAAGAGCUUCUCCAACGACUACAGACAACAGAUUGAAUGCCGCACCCAAAGCAGGAAAAGACAAUGCAGUGCAAUGAGGCUACUGAAAGGGAUAAAGAACCAGAUAGGCACACUGGGCAUAUCAUUUCAAUUAUUUCAG
This is a long non-coding RNA of Gasterosteus aculeatus aculeatus (three-spined stickleback), 9182 nucleotides long. Lineage: Eukaryota; Metazoa; Chordata; Actinopteri; Perciformes; Gasterosteidae. The record is from Ensembl.